RNAcentral lists this unclassified non-coding RNA (1066 nucleotides) under Hevea brasiliensis (rubber tree). Lineage: Eukaryota; Viridiplantae; Streptophyta; Magnoliopsida; Malpighiales; Euphorbiaceae. The record is from RNAcentral.
GUGAAAUACUGUGUGGUGGAUGCCUUCACUGACACAGCAUUCAAAGGGAACCCAGCUGCUGUUUGCUUAUUGGAAGAAGAGAAAGAUGAUAAAUGGUUACAAUCUGUUGCUGCUGAGUUUAAUCUCUCUGAAACUUGUUAUCUCAUUCCGCUCAUUGAACCUGCUAACACAAUCCCCAGAUUUGGCCUUCGUUGGUUCACUCCUGUUGACGAGGUCGAUUUAUGUGGGCAUGCAACGCUAGCAGCAGCACACUUUCUAUUUUCGUAUGGCCUGGUUAAAACUGAUACUAUUGAGUUUUCAACAAGAUCAGGAAUUUUAAUUGCCAAAAAAGUACCAGAACCAAAAGUUUCAAAUUCUCAGGACGAUUGGCCAACUGGUUACUCAAUUGAAUUGGAUUUUCCUGUUGUCCAAGUAGCCGAGACCAAUUUUAAUGAUGUUCUUGCAAUUUCAAAGAGCUUGAAUGGCGCAUCUGUGGUUGAGAUCUAUGAGACAUCAAUGGGUGAUCAUUUUAUUUUGCUCCCAUCAGGGGAGGAAGUGGUCGAAUGCCAACCUCAGAUUGAUCUUAUACAAAACUGCCCAGGCAGAGGAAUAAUCAUAACCGGACCUGCUCCACAGGGUUCCGGCUUUGAUUUCUAUAGCCGUUUCUUCUGCCCAAAGUUUGGAAUCAAUGAGGAUCCUGUUUGUGGAAGUGCUCAUUGUGCCUUGGCUCCUUAUUGGCGCAAAAAGCUUGGCAAAUGUGACUUUGUUGCUUUAGCGGCCUCACCUAGAGGUGGCGUCGUGAAACUGCAUCUAGACGAUGAGAAGCAGAGGGUAUUUCUGAGAGGGAAAGCUGUGGCAGUCAUGGAAGGUUCUCUUCUAGUCUAAUGUUAGCAGUUGAAAUGGUCUUUGGUAUGAGUUCAGUGUGACUUCUGCAGCAGUCUUCUGUUAUUUAUGUUUCCAGUGUGUUUAAACAUCUGCUCUGUGUUUUUCCUUCACUAAUAAACAUCUCCAGUUUCUCAACCAUCACCAGUUCAUUAGCCUACAAGUAGUGCAAGUGUUUUGGUUAAUGUGAAAUUGUGGAAAGCUA